AUUGAACGCUGGCGGCAUGCUUUACACAUGCAAGUCGAACGGCAGCGCGGGCUUCGGCCUGGCGGCGAGUGGCGAACGGGUGAGUAAUACAUCGGAACGUGCCCAGUAGUGGGGGAUAGCUCGGCGAAAGCCGGAUUAAUACCGCAUACGACCUGAGGGUGAAAGCGGGGGAUCUUCGGACCUCGCGCUAUUGGAGCGGCCGAUGGCAGAUUAGCUAGUUGGUGGGGUAAAGGCCUACCAAGGCGACGAUCUGUAGCUGGUCUGAGAGGACGACCAGCCACACUGGGACUGAGACACGGCCCAGACUCCUACGGGAGGCAGCAGUGGGGAAUUUUGGACAAAGGGCGAAAGCCUGACCCAGCAAUGCCGCGUGUGUGAUGAAGGCCUUCGGGUUGUAAAGCACUUUUGGCGGGAACGAAAAGGACUGUGCCAAUACCACGGUUCGAUGACGGUACCCGCAGAAUAAGCACCGGCUAACUACGUG
Molecule: ribosomal RNA, 484 nt
Filed under: uncultured bacterium
Lineage: Bacteria
Description: partial 16S ribosomal RNA
Rfam family: Bacterial small subunit ribosomal RNA
Source: RNAcentral